AACGCGAAGAACCUUACCUGGGCUUGAACCGCACAGGACUAGCUUUGGAAACAGAGCCUUCCCGCAAGGGACCUGUGUAGAGGUGCUGCAUGGCUGUCGUCAGCUCGUGCCGUGAGGUGUUGGGUUAAGUCCCGCAACGAGCGCAACCCUUACUCAUAGUUGCUACCCGCAAGGGAGAACUCUAUGAGGACUGCUCCGGAUAACGGAGAGGAAGGUGGGGAUGAGGUCAAGUCAGCAUGGCCUUUAUGUCCAGGGCUACACACGUGUUACAAUGCGCGCCACAAAGCGUCGCGAACCCGCGAGGGGGAGCUAAUCGCAAAAAAGCGCGCUCAGUUCGGAUUGCAGUCUGCAACUCGACUGCAUGAAGCCGGAAUCGCUAGUAAUGGCGCAUCAGAACGGCGCCGUGAAUACGUUCCCGGGCCUUGUA
This 427-nucleotide ribosomal RNA is filed under the name uncultured Acidobacteriota bacterium. RNAcentral describes it as "bacterial SSU rRNA". It matches the Rfam family "Bacterial small subunit ribosomal RNA", at positions 958 to 1385 of the family's 1533-position model. Lineage: Bacteria; Pseudomonadati; Acidobacteriota. The record is from RNAcentral.